RNAcentral lists this ribosomal RNA (468 nucleotides) under uncultured bacterium. RNAcentral describes it as "partial 16S ribosomal RNA". It matches the Rfam family "Bacterial small subunit ribosomal RNA", at positions 28 to 507 of the family's 1533-position model. The record is from RNAcentral.
GACGAACGCUGGCGGCGUGCUUAACACAUGCAAGUCGAACGGAAAGGCCCUGCUUUUGUGCGGUGCUCGAGUGGCGAACGCGUGAGUAACACGCGAGUAUCCCCUCCUUUUCUUUGGGAUAACUUCAGGAAACUUGGGCUCAUACCCGAUAUAAGCUCCUGCUGCAUGUGGUGGGUUGUAAAGUUUCGGCUGUUGGGGAUGGACUCGCUGCUUAUCAGCUUGUUGGUGGGGUAGGUGCUUACCAAGGCUUUGACGGGUAGCCGGCCUGAGAGGGUGACCGGCCACAUUGGGACUGAGAUAGGGCCCAGACUCCUACGGGAGGCAGCAGUGGGGAAUAUUGCACAAUGGGCGGAAGCCUGAUGCAGCAACGCCGCGUGCGGGAUGACGGCCUUCGGGUUGUAAACCGCUUUCGCCUGUGACGAAGCGUGAGUGACGGUAAUGGGUAAAGAAGCACCGGCUAACUACGUG